AACGCGAAGAACCUUACCAGGGCUUGACAUCCUGUGAAGUUCUCUGAAAGGAGAGUGUGCCGUAAGGAACACAGUGACAGGUGCUGCAUGGCCGUCGUCAGCUCGUGUCGUGAGAUGUUUGGUUAAGUCCAUCAACGAGCGCAACCCUUAUGAAUAGUUGAAUUUUUCUAUUCAGACUGCCCUGGUAACAGGGAGGAAGGAGGGGAUGAUGUCAGGUCAGUAUUGCCCUUAUGCCCUGGGCUACAAACACGCUACAAUGGCCGGUACAAAGGGCAGCUAAGUCGCGAGACGGAGCAAAUCCCAUCAAAGCCGGUCCCAGUUCGGAUUGUAGGCUGAAACUCGCCUACAUGAAGCCGGAAUCGCUAGUAACGGUAGGUCAGCACACUACCGUGAAUACGUUCCCGGGCCUUGUACACACCGCAUAC
This 425-nucleotide ribosomal RNA is filed under the name uncultured bacterium. RNAcentral's name for it is "bacterial SSU rRNA". It matches the Rfam family "Bacterial small subunit ribosomal RNA", at positions 958 to 1397 of the family's 1533-position model. The record is from RNAcentral.